Molecule: ribosomal RNA, 666 nt
Filed under: uncultured Candidatus Saccharibacteria bacterium
Lineage: Bacteria; Candidatus Saccharimonadota
Description: bacterial SSU rRNA
Rfam family: Bacterial small subunit ribosomal RNA
Source: RNAcentral
GUAGGUGGUUUAAUAAGCGAAUAGUGAAAUCUGGUGGCUCAACCAUUCAGACUAUUAUUCGAACUGUUAAACUCGAGAGCAGAAGAGGUAGCUGGAAUUUCUAGUGUAGGAGUGAAAUCCGUAGAUAUUAGAAGGAACACCGAUGGCGUAGGCAGGCUACUGGGCUGUUUCUGACACUGAGGCACGAAAGCGUGGGGAGCGAACCGGAUUAGAUACCCGGGUAGUCCACGCCGUAAACGAUGGAUACUAGCUGUUUGGGGUAUCGACCCCCUGAGUAGCGAAGCUAACGCGUUAAGUAUCCCGCCUGUGGAGUACGAUCGCAAGAUUAAAACAUAAAGGAAUUGACGGGGACCCGCACAAGCGGUGGAUCAUGUUCUUUAAUUCGAUGAUAACCGAUAAACCUUACCAGGUCUUGACAUCCUUGGAAUCUUUCAGAAAUGAGAGAGUGCUUUUUAAGAGCCAAGUGACAGGUGAUGCAUGGCCGUCGUCAGCUCGUGUCGUGAGAUGUUUGGUUAAGUCCAUCAACGAGCGCAACCCUUGUGAAUAGUUGUAUUUUUCUAUUCAGACUGCCCCGGCAACGGGGAGGAAGGAGGGGAUGACGUCAGGUCAGUAUUUCCCUUACGUCCUGGGCUAGAAACGUGAUACAAUGGCUAGUACAAUGCGCAG